RNAcentral lists this transfer RNA (71 nucleotides) under Loxodonta africana (African savanna elephant). It matches the Rfam family "tRNA". Rfam says of the family: Transfer RNA (tRNA) molecules are approximately 80 nucleotides in length. Lineage: Eukaryota; Metazoa; Chordata; Mammalia; Proboscidea; Elephantidae. The record is from Rfam by way of RNAcentral.
GCAGUGGUGGUUCAGUGGUAGAAUUCUUGCCCUCGAUGCGGGAGACCCGAGUUUGAUUCCCAGCCAGUGCA